This 494-nucleotide ribosomal RNA is filed under the name uncultured Methanosaeta sp. RNAcentral describes it as "bacterial SSU rRNA". It matches the Rfam family "Archaeal small subunit ribosomal RNA", at positions 840 to 1338 of the family's 1478-position model. Lineage: Archaea; Methanobacteriati; Methanobacteriota; Methanomicrobia; Methanotrichales; Methanotrichaceae. The record is from RNAcentral.
AGCCCGCUCAGAACUUAAAGGAAGUUGACGGGGAGCACUACAACGGUGGAGCCUGCGGUUUAAUUGGAUUCAACGCCGGAAAUCUCACCGGGGCGACAGCAUAUGAAGGUCAGGCUGAAGACCUUACCCGAUUAGCUGAGAGGUGGUGCAUGGCCGUCGUCAGUUCGUACUGUGAAGCAUCCUGUUAAGUCAGGCAACGAGCGAGACCCACGUCCACAGUUGCCAGCAUACCCUCCGGGGUGAUGGGUACACUGUGGAGACCGCCGCUGCUAAAGCGGAGGAAGGAGUGGGCAACGGUAGGUCAGUAUGCCCCGAAUCUCCCGGGCUACACGCGGGCUACAAUGGUUGGUACAAUGGGCAUCUACCCCGAAAGGGGAAGGAAAUCUCUUAAAGCCAAUCGUAGUUCGGAUUGAGGGCUGCAACUCGCCCUCAUGAAGCUGGAAUCCGUAGUAAUCGCGUUUCAACAGAACGCGGUGAAUACGUCCCUGCUCCUU